This 539-nucleotide ribosomal RNA is filed under the name Vilga westwoodii. Its description in RNAcentral is "partial small subunit ribosomal RNA". Lineage: Eukaryota; Metazoa; Arthropoda; Insecta; Hemiptera; Coreidae. The record is from RNAcentral.
UCAUUGUUUUUAUGAUAGAUUAAGAUUGAUCUUGUCUUAGAUAAUUAGCUUUUUGAUAAUAUUAAAUAUAAGUUUUUGCGGGUUAUUAUUUAUCUUAAGGGUAAAUUUUUUUUUAAUUGUAGUUUUUUAUAUUGAAUAUUUUAUAAUUAAAGAUUCAAUUAAUUAAUUUAAAGCUGUCAAAGGUUGUGCCAGCAGACGCGGUUACACAAUUGGUUUAAGUUAAUUUUUUUUGGUUAGUAUUUUUUUUUGUUAUUGGGGUUUAUUUUUUUGUUAUUGAGUGAAAUUUUAAUUUUUUAUAUUUGCUCUUGGUUAAAUAUUAUAUGAAAUUUAGAUUUUAAACUAGGAUUAGAGACCCUAUUAUUCUAAAUGUAAAGUUUUGGCCAUGGUAUUAAUAGUUAUGAUCUUUAAAUUAAAAAGAUUUGGCGGUAACUUAGUCCUUUCAGAGGAACCUGUCCUUUAAUCGAUAAUCCACGUUGGAUUUAACUUUAUUUUUUGAUUUGUAUAUCUCUGUCAUUGAAUGUUUUAUUAGAAUAUCUUCU